RNA transcript from Cyanidioschyzon merolae strain 10D, 2058 nucleotides. RefSeq lists it as hypothetical. The transcript has a single exon. The record is from RefSeq and is a predicted model, not a curated record. Lineage: Eukaryota; Rhodophyta; Bangiophyceae; Cyanidiales; Cyanidiaceae.
UAGUGCAAGGCACCUCGAGUCGACAGCUGCACGGAUAUGGCAAAGCCGCGCGUCGUCUCCAUGGAGCGUCCAUAGCGACAGCAUAGGUGUCGGUAUGGGUGCUCACGGUAGGCACUUGGCGUUGCAGCGUUUCAUAUGAGUGAACCAAUUUCUCCGUAUGCAACUCUCGGUGGCAACCAGUGGAGCUUGCAGGUUGGAUGCGGAGUGGUGCGCGCUUGCCCGCACGCCAAUAUCCGAGGUGCGCUCGGGGGUACCCCGUGUCGUGGGCACCUCUAUGGACCUGGGGAAACUCUGCGAGUCUCUGGAGCGGGUGUAUUUUUUUAGCUUAGAACUGUUUGCGUGAGUCGUCUAACGACUAGCAAGCCGGUUGCGAUUGUCUCCGCAAGUCAGAGGCGGGUGCACGCUUUCUCCUGGAGCCUGGUGCACUCGAGCAGGGCCCUAGAGCGUCACAGGUGCGACACCAGACUGCUGCAGCGGCUAACUGGGCGACGAGUCUGCAGGCGUCUCUUUGGCGUCCGCAGUGUUCGUCGCUGCGACAGUGGCAUCCAAAUCUAGGGUGAGCAUGCGACUGCAGUGACCUUCGAGAGGGUUGCGAUAAACACCAACCAGGGCAUUGGCGAACUCAAAGAACUGGUCCUUAAGCGAAAUGACGAUCGUUUGAAAUGGAUGGGACUGUACGGAACGCCCUCGAAUGUAAGUCGCCACGCGGCUUAAGUUUGCGGGGUCCAGUGCAGCGUCAAUCUCGUCCAUAAUCAAAAACGGACACUUCUGAAAGUCACGCAGUGCAAAGACAAGUGCCAGUGCCGCCAGGCUGCGUUCGCCCCCGCUGAGCUGAUCCACCUCGCGGAAGCGCUUUGCGGGGAGCAUGACGCUGAAGCGAAUGCCACCUAGGUACGGCUCCGACGCGGACUCGAGGCUGAUCGAGGCACUUCCGCCCACGGGAUGUACCUCUGAUCGUGUAAGCUCUUUGAAUACGCCAUCGAUGGAGACGGCGACAUGAUCGAAGCACUCCCGAAAGCGCCGCGUACGCUCAUCGCGCGCGUUCAACCAUCGACGAUUUGCCUCCGCAAGCGCGCCACGAGCGACCUCCUGCUCGGUGGCAACAAGGUCGAGCCUCUGCUGGAUAUCAUCGAGCUGUUGCGUGAUUCGCAGAUUUGGGGCCAUGCGCUCCAACUCUGCCACGAGACUUUGUUCCUGUUCAUUCAACGACGACUCUAUGGCCAUGCGCUCAGAGUGGCUUCUCGCAUGUCUAUGCUCUUCGCUCAAGAGCGACAUAUCCAGAUCCUCUGCAAAUAGGACAGGGUCUUCGGACUGCGCACCAGAUGGACCACGGGUGCGCGUCCGAGCGCGUGCGCGAUCGCUCGAAUGCCCAGCGCCGCGGCCCUGACCCCGACCCGCCUCUGCUGCUGUCGCGGGCGCACGCACAUCGAUCUGGUCGAUGCGACACGCAGUCUCCAGGGCGCGCAGACGCUCGGCGAUAUCCUCCUUGUUUGCGCGGUGCGUGUUCAGGGCGUUUUCCUUGGAACUGAUGUCUUCUGCCAGCUGCUUCUCUUCUUCGCGCAUCUUUUCCAGAGCUUCCUCUAUUUUUGCCAGUUGUUGCUGAAUAUGCUCUUGUUGUUGCAGUGCCUCCCGGAUACUGUGCUCGAGUGUUUCCUGCUCACGCUCUAGGCGUUCAAUCUGGGUGUCCAGCUCAGCUCUGGCUGCGGUGGCCUUUUGGACGCGCUCGACGAGGUCCUGCUCGCUGGUUUCUGCUUCUCUGGCGUAUUCGUAUUCUAAACGAGCGCGCAGUUUGGCUUGCUGGGAGGUCAGCGCCAGGCGACGCUCGCGGAACUCUUCGUUUCGGUGAAUACUCUGCGGGGAAAUAUCUCCGAGUAUUUCUCGCUCUGCGCGUUCGAUUCUUUCUUUGAUCUGGGAUACAUUUGCGACGCCUUGUUCGAGUUGAUGCCGGCAUUGUUCCUCGCUGACCUUGGCUUUGGAGACUUGUUCGUGAAGCGCAUUCAGCUGGGAGCUGACUUUGACAGCACGUUCCUCAUUUUGUUGCAGCUCGUGUCGUAAAUA